CCAGACUCCUACGGGAGGCAGCAGUGGGGAAUAUUGCACAAUGGGCGGAAGCCUGAUGCAGCAACGCCGCGUGCGGGAUGACGGCCUUCGGGUUGUAAACCGCUUUCGCCUGUGACGAAGCGUGGGUGACGGUAAUGGGUAAAGAAGCACCGGCUAACUACGUGCCAGCAGCCGCGGUGAUACGUAGGGUGCGAGCGUUGUCCGGAUUUAUUGGGCGUAAAGGGCUCGUAGGUGGUUGAUCGCGUCGGAAGUGUAAUCUUGGGGCUUAACCCUGAGCGUGCUUUCGAUACGGGUUGACUUGAGGAAGGUAGGGGAGAAUGGAAUUCCUGGUGGAGCGGUGGAAUGCGCAGAUAUCAGGAGGAACACCAGUGGCGAAGGCGGUUCUCUGGGCCUUUCCUGACGCUGAGGAGCGAAAGCGUGGGGAGCGAACAGGCUUAGAUACCCUGGUAGUCCACGCUGUAAACGGUGGGUACUAGGUGUGGGGUCCAUUCCACGGGUUCCGUGCCGUAGCUAACGCUUUAAGUACCCCGCCUGGGGAGUACGGCCGCAAGGCUAAAACUCAAAGGAAUUGACGGGGGCCCGCACAAG
Molecule: ribosomal RNA, 588 nt
Filed under: uncultured bacterium
Lineage: Bacteria
Description: bacterial SSU rRNA
Rfam family: Bacterial small subunit ribosomal RNA
Source: RNAcentral